UACAGAGGGUGCGAGCGUUGUUCGGAAUUACUGGGCGUAAAGCGUGCGCAGGCGGUUUUGUAAGUCUGACGUGAAAUCCCCGGGCUCAACCUGGGAAUUGCGUUGGAGACUGCAAGGCUAGAAUCUGGCAGAGGGGGGUAGAAUUCCACGUGUAGCAGUGAAAUGCGUAGAGAUGUGGAGGAACACCGAUGGCGAAGGCAGCCCCCUGGGUCAAGAUUGACGCUCAUGCACGAAAGCGUGGGGAGCAAACAGG
RNAcentral lists this ribosomal RNA (253 nucleotides) under uncultured bacterium. RNAcentral describes it as "partial 16S ribosomal RNA". It matches the Rfam family "Bacterial small subunit ribosomal RNA", at positions 524 to 776 of the family's 1533-position model. The record is from RNAcentral.